This 627-nucleotide ribosomal RNA is filed under the name Streptomyces variabilis. Its description in RNAcentral is "bacterial SSU rRNA". It matches the Rfam family "Bacterial small subunit ribosomal RNA", at positions 56 to 698 of the family's 1533-position model. Lineage: Bacteria; Bacillati; Actinomycetota; Actinomycetes; Kitasatosporales; Streptomycetaceae. The record is from RNAcentral.
UGCAGUCGAACGAUGAACCUCCUUCGGGAGGGGAUUAGUGGCGAACGGGUGAGUAACACGUGGGCAAUCUGCCGUGCUCUCUGGGACAAGCCGUGGAAACGGGGUCUAAUACCGGAUACUGACCCGCUUGGGCAUCCAAGCGGCUCAAAAGCUCCGGCGGUGCGAGAUGACCCCGCGGCCUAUCAUCUUGUUGGUGAGGUAGUGGCUCACCAGGGCGACCACGGGUAGCCGGUCUGAGAGGGCGACCGGCCACACUGGGACUGACACACGGCCCACACUCCUACGGGAGGCAACAGUGGGAAAUUUUGCACUGUGGGCAAAAGCCUGAUGCAGCCACCCCGCGUGAGGGAAGACGGCCUUCGGGUUGUAAACCUCUUUCAGCGGGGAAAAAGCAAAUGUGACGGUCCCUGCAAAAAAAGCCCCGGCUAUCUACGUGCCAACACCCGCGGUAAUACAUAGGGCGCGAGCGUUGUCCGGAAUUAUUGGGCGUAAAGAUCUCAUACGCGGUUUGUCACGUCUGUUGUGAAACCCCGGGUCUUAACCCCGGGUCUGCACUCUAUACGGGCAGGCUAGAGUUCGGUAGGAGAGAUCGGAUUUCCUGGUGUAGCGGUGAAGUGCACAUAUCUC